GGCACCGUAGCCAAGUGGCAAGGCGAAGCUCUGCAAAAGCUUUAUACGUGGGUUCGAUUCCCACCGGUGCCU
Molecule: transfer RNA, 72 nt
Rfam family: tRNA
About the family: Transfer RNA (tRNA) molecules are approximately 80 nucleotides in length. Their secondary structure includes four short double-helical elements and three loops (D, anti-codon, and T loops).